UACGUAGGGGGCAAGCGUUAUCCGGAUUUACUGGGUGUAAAGGGAGCGUAGACGGCAUGACAAGUCUGAAGUGAAAUUCCCGGGCUUAACCUGGGCACUGCUUUGGAAACUGCCAGGCUAGAGUGCUGGAGAGGUAAGCGGAAUUCCUAGUGUAGCGGUGAAAUGCGUAGAUAUUAGGAGGAACACCAGUGGCGAAGGCGGCUUACUGGACAGUCACUGACGUUGAGGCUCGAAAGCGUGGGGAGCAAACAGG
This 253-nucleotide ribosomal RNA is filed under the name uncultured bacterium. Its description in RNAcentral is "partial 16S ribosomal RNA". It matches the Rfam family "Bacterial small subunit ribosomal RNA", at positions 524 to 776 of the family's 1533-position model. The record is from RNAcentral.